Molecule: transfer RNA, 67 nt
Filed under: Allopsontus sp. 2 JZ-2014
Lineage: Eukaryota; Metazoa; Arthropoda; Insecta; Archaeognatha; Machilidae
Description: tRNA-Arg
Source: RNAcentral
AAAUAAGAAGCGAUAUUAUUGCUUUUAGUUUCGACCUAAAUUUAGGUAAAAUUUUUACCCUUAUUUU